CUGGACGAGCAAUGAGCUGAUGGAUGUUGAUCGUCCAAGAUGUGGAAACAGCAGCUGGAACCAACAGGACUUGGUGGAAACAACUGGAGGAGACAUGCCUGAUGGAUAUGUUACCCCCCCCCCCCUUUCAAGACAUUUCACAGUAGAUAACGGACACUGAUCAGAUGUUUUAGCGAACAUGUGCAUUUUGCUGGAAAAAGAAUCUGACAUGCCAUGUGGAUUUUGAGAUUUUAACCAGUUAGAGAAAAUUUGAUGAGCUUUCAUUUGAGGGGUGUCCCAUCCUUCAAUGAAAAUAAGGGGAGAAGCUGUGUGAGAAAACAUUAACAUUGUUACCUAUGGGAAAUUCAUUAGUGGACUGUACCCAGACUGAUGGAUGUUGACCCUCUAAAAUGUGGAAAUGAGCUUCUACACCAGACAGGAAUUGGUGGAAAAACCAGGAAAGGGCAAGACUGAUGGAUUUAUUUGACCCUUCAAGAUGUGGAAAUGAACAGCAACAGUCAGACAGGAAUUGGUGGAAGCAACUAGAAAAGAUGGGACUGAUGGAUGAUGACCUUCCCAACAGCAAGACUUAUCCCUGUGGAGAACUGUCACUGAUCAGUGUGCUUUAAUGACUUAGUAGUACCCUGUAGAAGACUUAGAUAAAGUCAUGUGGAUGUGCUUGACAUUAUGAAUGAUAAGGAGCCC
Saccostrea echinata is the source of this 684-nucleotide long non-coding RNA. RefSeq lists it as uncharacterized. The transcript has 3 exons. The record is from RefSeq and is a predicted model, not a curated record. NCBI's taxonomy places the organism in Eukaryota, Metazoa, Mollusca, Bivalvia, Ostreida, Ostreidae.